Molecule: long non-coding RNA, 325 nt
Organism: Oncorhynchus tshawytscha (Chinook salmon)
Lineage: Eukaryota; Metazoa; Chordata; Actinopteri; Salmoniformes; Salmonidae
Source: Ensembl
AUCAGGAAGUUCCCAGCUGUCUCCAGAGGUGGACAUUAGAGGGCAGUAAAUCAGGAAGUUCCCAGCUGUCUCCAGAGGUGGACAUUAAAGGGGAGUAAAUCAGGAAGUUCCCAGCUGUCUCCAGAGGUGGACAUUAAAGGGCAGUAAAUCAGGAAGUUCCCAGCUGUCUCCAGAGGUGGACAUUAAAGGGGAGUAAAUCAGGAAGUUCCCAGCUGUCUCCAGAGGUGGACAUUAAAGGGCAGUAAAUCAGGAAGUUCCCAGCUGUCUCCAGAGGUGGACAUUAAAGGGCAGUAAAUCAGGAAGUUCCCAGCUGUCUCCAGAGGUG